AUACGGAGGGUGCGAGCGUUAAUCGGAAUUACUGGGCGUAAAGCGCGCGUAGGCGGCUAAGUAAGUCGGAUGUGAAAGCCCUGGGCUCAACCUGGGAAUUGCACUCGAUACUGCUUGGCUAGAGUAUGGUAGAGGGUAGUGGAAUUCCUGGUGUAGCGGUGAAAUGCGUAGAUAUCAGGAGGAACAUCAGUGGCGAAGGCGGCUACCUGGACCAAUACUGACGCUGAGGUGCGAAAGCGUGGGGAGCAAACAGGAUUAGAAACCCCGGUAGUCC
RNAcentral lists this ribosomal RNA (274 nucleotides) under uncultured bacterium. Its description in RNAcentral is "partial 16S ribosomal RNA". It matches the Rfam family "Bacterial small subunit ribosomal RNA", at positions 523 to 796 of the family's 1533-position model. The record is from RNAcentral.